This is a long non-coding RNA of Solea senegalensis (Senegalese sole), 1457 nucleotides long. RefSeq lists it as uncharacterized. NCBI's taxonomy places the organism in Eukaryota, Metazoa, Chordata, Actinopteri, Pleuronectiformes, Soleidae. The transcript has 6 exons. The record is from RefSeq and is a predicted model, not a curated record.
AUGACCACACGAGGCAGCAGAGGACCGUCUGUAACAGUGAGAUAAAGACGUGGAGCCAGAACCGUGGACAGGCGACACCCUCCUGUGCGUCUCAGGUCCAGUGUCUCAGCUCUGUCUCAAAAUUGAGACACUGGGACUACGAAUCAUAGAUUCGUAGGUAGACUCCUCACUAAGCAACUGAAGAGGACGUUGUGAUGUCAUCAGUGACAUCAGAAGGGAUGAAGUAACGUCACCCUCUGCUGACUCACUGAUGGAACAAGAAGUGUCAAAAUAAAAGCAUUGAUCACAAACACUUCCUGUUCAGUAGUUUUUGUUUUGUGUGUGUGUGUGUGUGUCACCAUGACAACGGGUAAACACAGGUACAGCCUCAUUUGAUUCCAGUUGAGCAGAAAUAUGAACAUGUCAUUCAUGAUAAAAUGCUGUUCUAUGUGAUUUGAUAUUCAGAGACAAAGUGAAGAUGAGAAUAUGGAUCAAAGUGACUCAAUGUUUUCACUCGUGAUUUAAUUUCCAUGUGUAAAUAUAAACACAGUCAAAGGUCGUAAGAUCAGUGGCUACAUUCAAACAGUCACUGCCGUUCCAUUGAUGGAACAUAAUCAGUGAUGGACAGUCAUCCACAUAGUCAAAUUACAGUCACAUCUAUGUCACAGCCAUGGUAACUGACUCGGAAUUAAUAACCUUCUUUCUGAAAUGGGCCCUGGUGUGAUGUCACGUUCUGUCUCCGGACAGCCUUGUUUGUCAUGGAAACGGUAACAAAACAUGUUAAUCUCUUACUGAAACACACACACUCCGGUACGCGCUGUAACACACGUGCGACUGCUUUGAUAAAGUUGUCAGUUUUGAAUGUUCACAUGUUUGACACACUCUGUAUUGGUUGAUAAAGUUGUCAGGUUUGAAUGUUCACAUGUUUGACACACUCUGUAUGGGUUGAUAAAGUUGUCAGGAACCAGAGGGGCGGUGAUCUAUCCAGUUCUUAUAAUACAUCCAUGUUUUUUUACAGAAACAAAGUUAAUAAAAAAUAUUAAUCGAGUGAAAACGUCAAUGUUUUGUCUGUAGUGCCAUGUUCUUCCGCUGGGGGACGCAGUGUUUGUUGGAAAAAGAGGGGGCGGGGUUUUGUUGACCUUCCCCCCGGAAGUGCCUGUGCUCUGCAGCGCCUCCUCUCUUUGCUGCAGUUGCGGGAUCUUCAGUCUGAACCAAACCGUGUUUUCUUCACUCAGACGGGGGAUGAAGAGCGACGAUGUUCCGACGGUGGCGCUAAUGCACUGUAACGCUGGAUACCAACCAACCGCCGUGAAACAAGAAGAACAACCCUCGCGAGAUAUAACACGAGAUUGAGUCCACGCUCCGGUCAGACGAUACAAACCGCGGGAGAGUGACGGCACAGCUUCAGAUGUACCGAUAGACCACGAGUGUGGCGGAAAACAACACUGAUUGACCUCAGUGACACAAAGUGACCACAC